GCGUAGGCAGCAAGCGUUGUUCGGAAUUACUGGGCGUAAAGAGUGUGUAGGCGGUGCUCUAAGUUUGGUGUGAAAUCUCCCGGCUCAACUGGGAGGGUGCAUCGAAAACUGGAGUGCUCGAGGGUGGGAGAGGUAAGCGGAAUUCCUGGUGUAGCGGUGAAAUGCGUAGAUAUCAGGAGGAACACCUGUGGUGUAGACAGCUUACUGGACCACUUCUGACGCUGAGACACGAAAGCGUGGGUAGCAAACAGGA
RNAcentral lists this ribosomal RNA (253 nucleotides) under uncultured prokaryote. Its description in RNAcentral is "partial 16S ribosomal RNA". It matches the Rfam family "Bacterial small subunit ribosomal RNA", at positions 525 to 777 of the family's 1533-position model. The record is from RNAcentral.